CGUUGGGGCUUGCUCCAAGUUAGUGGCGAACGGGUGAGUAAUACAUCGGAACGUACCGUGUAGGUGGGGAUAACGUAGCGAAAGUUACGCUAAUACCGCAUACGAUCUACGGAUGAAAGCAGGGGGACCUUCGGGCCUUGUGCUAUACGAGCGGCCGAUGUCUGAUUAGCUAGUUGGUGAGGUAAAGGCUCACCAAGGCGACGAUCAGUAGCGGGUCUGAGAGGAUGAUCCGCCACACUGGGACUGAGACACGGCCCAGACUCCUACGGGAGGCAGCAGUGGGGAAUUUUGGACAAUGGGCGAAAGCCUGAUCCAGCCAUGCCGCGUGUCUGAAGAAGGCCUUCGGGUUGUAAAGGACUUUUGUCAGGGAGCAAAACUUACUGGUUAAUACCCGGUGAGGCUGAGAGUACCUGAAGAAUAAGCACCGGCUAACUACGUGCCAGCAGCCGCGGUAAUACGUAGGGUGCAAGCGUUAAUCGGAAUUACUGGGCGUA
This 494-nucleotide ribosomal RNA is filed under the name uncultured bacterium. RNAcentral describes it as "bacterial SSU rRNA". It matches the Rfam family "Bacterial small subunit ribosomal RNA", at positions 70 to 562 of the family's 1533-position model. The record is from RNAcentral.